UACGGAGGAUGCGAGCGUUAUCCGGAUUUAUUGGGUUUAAAGGGAGCGUAGACGGGUCGUUAAGUCAGCUGUGAAAGUUCGGGGCUCAACCUUGAAAUUGCAGUUGAUACUGGCGUCCUUGAGUACGGUUGAGGCAGGCGGAAUUCGUGGUGUAGCGGUGAAAUGCUUAGAUAUCACGAAGAACCCCGAUUGCGAAGGCAGCCUGCUAAGCCGCGACUGACGUUGAGGCUCGAAAGUGUGGGUAUCAAACAGG
This 253-nucleotide ribosomal RNA is filed under the name Bacteroides mediterraneensis. Its description in RNAcentral is "partial 16S ribosomal RNA". It matches the Rfam family "Bacterial small subunit ribosomal RNA", at positions 524 to 776 of the family's 1533-position model. The record is from RNAcentral. Lineage: Bacteria; Pseudomonadati; Bacteroidota; Bacteroidia; Bacteroidales; Bacteroidaceae.